UACAGAGGGUGCGAGCGUUGUCCGGAAUCACUGGGCGUAAAGGGUGCGUAGGCGGGUUUUUAAGUCAGAGGUGAAAUCCUGGAGCUCAACUCCAGAACUGCCUUUGAUACUGAGAGUCUUGAGUUCGGGAGAGGUGAGUGGAACUGCGAGUGUAGAGGUGAAAUUCGUAGAUAUUCGCAAGAACACCAGUGGCGAAGGCGGCUCACUGGCCCGAUACUGACGCUGAGGCACGAAAGCGUGGGGAGCAAACAGG
This 253-nucleotide ribosomal RNA is filed under the name uncultured bacterium. Its description in RNAcentral is "partial 16S ribosomal RNA". It matches the Rfam family "Bacterial small subunit ribosomal RNA", at positions 524 to 776 of the family's 1533-position model. The record is from RNAcentral.